AGUGAACGCUGGCGGUAGGCCUAACACAUGCAAGUCGAACGGCAGCACAGUAAGAGCUUGCUCUUACGGGUGGCGAGUGGCGGACGGGUGAGGAAUACAUCGGAAUCUACUUUUUCGUGGGGGAUAACGUAGGGAAACUUACGCUAAUACCGCAUACGACCUACGGGUGAAAGCAAGGGAUCUUCGGACCUUGCGCGAUUGAAUGAGCCGAUGUCGGAUUAGCUAGUUGGCGGGGUAAAGGCCCACCAAGGCGACGAUCCGUAGCUGGUCUGAGAGGAUGAUCAGCCACACUGGAACUGAGACACGGUCCAGACUCCUACGGGAGGCAGCAGUGGGGAAUAUUGGACAAUGGCGCAAGCCUGAUCCAGCCAUACCGCGUGGGUGAAGAAGGCCUUCGGGUUGUAAAGCCCUUUUGUUGGGAAAGAAAAGCAGCAGGUUAAUACCCCGCUGUUCUGACGGUACCCAAAGAAUAAGCACCGGCUAACUUCGU
This 490-nucleotide ribosomal RNA is filed under the name uncultured bacterium. RNAcentral describes it as "partial 16S ribosomal RNA". It matches the Rfam family "Bacterial small subunit ribosomal RNA", at positions 29 to 506 of the family's 1533-position model. The record is from RNAcentral.